RNAcentral lists this ribosomal RNA (486 nucleotides) under Serratia marcescens. RNAcentral's name for it is "bacterial SSU rRNA". It matches the Rfam family "Bacterial small subunit ribosomal RNA", at positions 68 to 540 of the family's 1533-position model. Lineage: Bacteria; Pseudomonadati; Pseudomonadota; Gammaproteobacteria; Enterobacterales; Yersiniaceae. The record is from RNAcentral.
GGUAGCACAGGGGAGCUUGCUCCCUGGGUGACGAGCGGCGGACGGGUGAGUAAUGUCUGGGAAACUGCCUGAUGGAGGGGGAUAACUACUGGAAACGGUAGCUAAUACCGCAUAACGUCGCAAGACCAAAGAGGGGGACCUUCGGGCCUCUUGCCAUCAGAUGUGCCCAGAUGGGAUUAGCUAGUAGGUGGGGUAAUGGCUCACCUAGGCGACGAUCCCUAGCUGGUCUGAGAGGAUGACCAGCCACACUGGAACUGAGACACGGUCCAGACUCCUACGGGAGGCAGCAGUGGGGAAUAUUGCACAAUGGGCGCAAGCCUGAUGCAGCCAUGCCGCGUGUGUGAAGAAGGCCUUCGGGUUGUAAAGCACUUUCAGCGAGGAAGGUGGUGAGCUUAAUACGCUCAUCAAUUGACGUUACUCGCAGAAGAAGCACCGGCUAACUCCGUGCCAGCAGCCGCGGUAAUACGGAGUUCCCGGGUGCAAGCG